UCUGCAGAUCUCCUCUGCUGCAGUGACAGACUCUGCUCUGUACUACUGUGCUGUGAGGCCCACAGUGACAGCAAACCCACAGUCUCUGUACAAAAACACAAGCUGACACACUGACAAGCUGCUGGAAGCCUUUUUUCCACACUGUUGUACUGAAGUUUUGACCUCCACUAGAGGGCGACAUUAUCAAGUAGGCGGUGCACUACUUCUGCACUGUGUUCAACCAUUGCGUCAAUAAUAACUGCUGCUGUGAAGAGAACAAUUCUCAGACUGAAUGUUGAACAGCAGCUAGUUUCUCCUGUUGAUUUAAACCUUGUUGUAGAGAUGGAACAUUGGCUGUGGAUUAUUCUUGCUGCUCUUUUCUUUGAGUGUAAAGGAGAAGACAGAGUGAUCCAGCCAACAAGAGAUGUCAUUGCUACUGAAGGAGACACAGUUACACUUGGCUGUACAUUUGAGUCAAGUGACCUAUAUUCCUAUCUGUUCUGGUACAAACAAGAAAUAAAUGAUUUCCCAAAGUACAUGCUGCAACGGUACUCUGGAAACAAAGAUAAUCCUUUAGAGGAAAAGAGAAUUGAUGCUAAAAUCAACGGGACAUCAGUUCCUCUGAAGAUCCAGAAGCUUCAGCUGUAUGAUUCUGCUGUGUACUACUGUGCUCUGCAGCCCACAGUGACAGGAAACACCAAGACUCUGUACAAAAACCUUUGGAGCAAAGACAACAGAAUACUCCACAACGUCCACUAGAGGGAGUCACACACUGUUAACCUUCAGUGAUAUGUGAUGAUACAGUCUAGAAUCAUGAACACCUCCCCCACAAGAUGUUCCCUCAGUCUCACUGAGAUCAGACAGACCUGAGUACAGCAGGUAGAGAGAAACACAAACUAAAGGACAGACAGCAUCAGAGACAGACGUCACUACACAGAUCUGAAGAUGAAAGUUUAUAUUAUAUCAUCUGG
Non-coding RNA from Siniperca chuatsi (mandarin fish), 950 nucleotides. NCBI's taxonomy places the organism in Eukaryota, Metazoa, Chordata, Actinopteri, Centrarchiformes, Sinipercidae. The record is from the annotation of a RefSeq genome assembly.